CGAACGGGUGAGUAUCACGUGGGUAAUCUACCCUCUGGCGGGGGACAACAUUUGGAAACGAAUGCUAAUACCGCAUAUGUCGGCUUCGGCCGGGAAAGGUGGCUUCGGCUAUCACCAGAGGAUGAGCCCGCGGCCCAUCAGCUUGUUGGUAGGGUAAUGGCCUACCAAGGCUACGACGGGUAGCUGGUCUUAGAGGAUGAUCAGCCACAUUGGAACUGAGACACGGUCCAG
RNAcentral lists this ribosomal RNA (231 nucleotides) under uncultured bacterium. RNAcentral's name for it is "partial 16S ribosomal RNA". It matches the Rfam family "Bacterial small subunit ribosomal RNA", at positions 99 to 334 of the family's 1533-position model. The record is from RNAcentral.